RNAcentral lists this ribosomal RNA (305 nucleotides) under uncultured bacterium. RNAcentral's name for it is "bacterial SSU rRNA". It matches the Rfam family "Bacterial small subunit ribosomal RNA", at positions 29 to 362 of the family's 1533-position model. The record is from RNAcentral.
AACGAACGCUGGCGGCAUGCCUAACACAUGCAAGUCGAACGGCAUGUAGCAAUACAUGAGUGGCGAACGGGUGAGUAACGCGUGGGAACCUGCCUAGUGGUAGGGAAUAACCGCGGGAAACUGCGGCUAAAUACCCUAUGAGCCCUCCGGGGGAAAGAUUUAUCGCCAUUAGAGGGGCCCGCGUCGGAUUAGCUAGUUGGUGGGUAACGGCCCACCAAGGCGACGAUCCGUAGCUGGCUGAGAGGAUGAUCAGCACACUGGACUGAGAUACGGCCAGACUCCUACGGGAGGCAGCAGUGGGGAAU